AUGGCCCAAGAGAAGAAGGUGGUCAUUCAAGUGUCUGAUCUUAGAGUCUAUGACAACGGCUCAGUCGACCGGACAUGGGCAGGACCCCCCGAGUUCACUUUCCUAUUGCAGCCGGUUCCAUCUCACGAGCAAUUCAUUGAAGGCGUUGCCACAAGAGACGUGAUCAUUGACAAACAUCCGGCCAUCGCGUCCGAAUAUACCUACCGGAGAGAAAGCCGGAGGAUAAUAAGGAGACUAAGCUACCAGUAAUCCUUCAUUUCCAUGGAGGAGGCUUUUGCUUCUGCGAAGCCGAUUGGUACAUGUACUACUAUAUCUACUCAAGGAUCGCACGUGCCGCCAAUGCUAUUGUUGUCUCCGUCUAUCUCAGACAAGCUCCCGAGCACCGCCUCCCAGCUCAGAUCGACGACGGCUUCAAUGCUCUCCUCUGGCUCAGAUCGGUGGCUCAAGCGGAAUCGUAUGAACCUUGGCUAAACGACCAUGCAGACUUGAACCGGGUUUUCCUCAUAGGGGAUAGUUCAGGAGGAAACAUAGUCCAUGAAGUGGCUGCACGAGCAGGGCAUGCAGAUUUAGGUCAGUUCAAGCUAUCCGGUGGGAUUCUAAUCCAACCUGGCUUUGUCCGGGAAACGAGGAGCAAGUCGGAGUUGGAACAGCCACAGUCUUCGUUUUUCAACGUAGAUAUGGCGGACAAGUUGUUCAGCUUGUCAAUUCCGGUAGGAUCAAACAAGGACCAUCCGAUUACAUGUCCGAUGGGUUCAUUGGCUCCACCAUUGGAUGGCCUGAAGCUGCCUCCGAUGCUGGUCUUCGUUGGGGGGGUCGACGUUUUUCAGGACACUGAGAUGGAAUACUACGAGGCCAUGAAGAAGGCGAACCAGGAUGUGCAGCUUUUGACUAUCCCCGGAGUCGGUCAUGCGUUUUAUCUCGCGGCGGACAUGGACCCACGCAUUGCUGUCCCAAUUGCAAGUCUAGUUUCUGGGAUCGUAGAGUUCGUCAAGACAAACUGAAAUCCUAAUAAUUCAUUUUGUUUUGCUUAAUCUACCUGUUCUGUUGUCGACGACGUUUUAAUUACCAGCAAGUCUCACAAGCUACCAAUAUAUACAUAUUAUGUGCCAUUGAUCAGCGGUGCUGUGGUGGUGGCUGGUGCAUGGAGAAGUGUAACUUUUGCUUAUGGGAUAAAAUGUG
This is an RNA transcript of Fragaria vesca subsp. vesca, 1179 nucleotides long. It is a transcript of the gene named gibberellin receptor GID1C-like, with no coding region annotated. The transcript has a single exon. The record is from RefSeq and is a predicted model, not a curated record. NCBI's taxonomy places the organism in Eukaryota, Viridiplantae, Streptophyta, Magnoliopsida, Rosales, Rosaceae.